This 795-nucleotide ribosomal RNA is filed under the name uncultured archaeon. Its description in RNAcentral is "bacterial SSU rRNA". It matches the Rfam family "Archaeal small subunit ribosomal RNA", at positions 85 to 878 of the family's 1478-position model. The record is from RNAcentral.
ACUGCUCAGUAACACGUGGAUAACCUGCCCUUGGGACCGGCAUAACCCCGGGAAACUGGGGAUAAUUCCGGAUACCGCAUAUAUGCUGGAAUGCUUUAUGCGUGAAAUGGAUUCGUCUGCCCAAGGAUGGGUCUGCGGCCUAUCAGGUAGUAGUGGGUGUAAUGUACCUACUAGCCUACAACGGGUACGGGUUGUGAGAGCAAGAGCCCGGAGAUGGAUUCUGAGACAUGAAUCCAGGCCCUACGGGGCGCAGCAGGCGCGAAAACUUUACAAUGCGGGAAACCGUGAUAAGGGGACACCGAGUGCCAGCAUCAUAUGCUGGCUGUCCAGGUGUGUAAAAUACACCUGUUAGCAAGGGCCGGGCAAGACCGGUGCCAGCCGCCGCGGUAACACCGGCGGCCCGAGUGGUGAUCGUGAUUAUUGGGUCUAAAGGGUCCGUAGCCGGUUUGGUCAGUCCUCCGGGAAAUCUGACAGCUCAACUGUUAGGCUUUCGGGGGAUACUGCCAGACUUGGAACCGGGAGAGGUAAGAGGUACUACAGGGGUAGGAGUGAAAUCUUGUAAUCCCUGUGGGACCACCUGUGGCGAAGGCGUCUUACCAGAACGGGUUCGACGGUGAGGGACGAAAGCUGGGGGCACGAACCGGAUUAGAUACCCGGGUAGUCCCAGCCGUAAACGAUGCUCGCUAGGUGUCAGGCAUGGCGCGACCGUGUCUGGUGCCGCAGGGAAGCCGUGAAGCGAGCCACCUGGGAAGUACGGCCGCAAGGCUGAAACUUAAAGGAAUUGGCGGGGGAGCA